This 253-nucleotide ribosomal RNA is filed under the name uncultured bacterium. Its description in RNAcentral is "partial 16S ribosomal RNA". It matches the Rfam family "Bacterial small subunit ribosomal RNA", at positions 524 to 776 of the family's 1533-position model. The record is from RNAcentral.
UACGGGGGGGGCAAGCGUUAUUCGGAAUUAUUGGGCGUAAAGGGCGCGUAGGCGGCACUGUUAGUCAGGCGUGAAAUUCCUGGGCUCAACCUGGGGGCUGCGUUUGAUACGUGCGGACUUGAGUGCGGAAGAGGGUCGUGGAAUUCCCAGUGUAGAGGUGAAAUUCGUAGAUAUUGGGAAGAACACCGGUGGCGAAGGCGGCGACCUGGUCCGAUACUGACGCUGAGGCGCGAAAGCGUGGGGAGCAAACAGG